UUCGUCGCCGGGUGUUGAAAGAGUCUUCGUCAACCUCUUCCGCGUUCGUGUCCAUAGGAGGAGGAAUUCCGAUCUUAUUUUGGGGUGGUGUUUCCGGUUAAUCUCGCACGAAGGACAAAAAUACGCCUUAGGGCAGUGCGUCGCAUGCUUCCGGAGCUAAUUAUUUUGGAUUUCUUUUCCACCGAUUUAUUUGGGAUUUAGCAAUCAUAUGUAAGUUGAUUUAUUUAUUUUCAUCACUAAAUUAGUUAGAUUUAUAUCACAAUCGAAUUUCGUUGUGGGUUUUCCCCAGCA
Molecule: long non-coding RNA, 291 nt
Filed under: Ananas comosus (pineapple)
Lineage: Eukaryota; Viridiplantae; Streptophyta; Magnoliopsida; Poales; Bromeliaceae
Description: long non-coding RNA (ACOM_LNC025905)
Source: RNAcentral